Molecule: ribosomal RNA, 468 nt
Filed under: uncultured bacterium
Lineage: Bacteria
Description: partial 16S ribosomal RNA
Rfam family: Bacterial small subunit ribosomal RNA
Source: RNAcentral
GACGAACGCUGGCGGUGUGCUUAACACAUGCAAGUCGAACGGUAAGGCCCUUUCGGGGGUACACGAGUGGCGAACGGGUGAGUAACACGUGAGUAACCUGCCCUCAUCUCUGGGAUAACAGUCGGAAACGGUUGCUAAUACUGGAUAUGAGCUUGCAAGGCAUCUUGUGGGUUGGAAAGAUUUUUUUUGGUUGGGGAUGGACUCGCGGCCCAUCAGCUUGUUGGUGAGGUAGUGGCUCACCAAGGCUUCGACGGGUAGCCGGCCUGAGAGGGCGACCGGCCACAUUGGGACUGAGAUACGGCCCAAACUCCUACGGGAGGCAGCAGUGGGGAAUAUUGCACAAUGGACGGAAGUCUGAUGCAGCAACGCCGCGUGCGGGAUGACGGCCUUCGGGUUGUAAACCGCUUUCGAUUGUGACGAAGCUUUUUUGUGACGGUAGCAGUAGAAGAAGCACCGGCUAACUACGUG